This is a long non-coding RNA of Tupaia belangeri chinensis (Chinese tree shrew), 402 nucleotides long. RefSeq lists it as uncharacterized. The record is from RefSeq and is a predicted model, not a curated record. NCBI's taxonomy places the organism in Eukaryota, Metazoa, Chordata, Mammalia, Scandentia, Tupaiidae. The transcript has 3 exons.
CUUUGAGUCCCAAUGCAGCCCACUUUUGGCUGUGAAAACUUGACCACUGUGACUCCAUCUGGGAUCUUUUCCCUGUCUGUGUGCUUAAUAUUCCUAUCGCCUGCAUUAUUAGAAAGGAGUCAUAAAUUCUUUAGAGCUAUGUUAAAGGGGUGUUUAUUGUACAUUAACCAAAUCAUAGAGGAAAACGCAGUGACUUCACUGAAAAGAAAAACAUGGAGCCUUCCCUAUUUACCUGUUGUGCAAAUAACAGGAUUUCCUUCUUUUUAAAGGCUUGGUAGUAUUCCGCUGUGUAUCUAUACCACAUCUUUAUCUGUCCAUCUGGUUAUGAAUACUUAUUUCUCAAGUUUGGUAAAUAUAAUCUUAAUUUAAUUUUCCAAGAAAGCCUUCAAGAGUAAUUUCCUG